AUUUAGCCUUUCGGGUUCCGUUUCCGCGCCUACGCGCACCGAAACGCUCGAUAGCUCCCGAACUUCAUCAAACUUCACCGGGACCAUUCAAACGGCUCUCCAAUCGAAUGUACACCGUAACUUAAUAGUUUUAGAAGUCCGGUACCUUACACUAAUGUUGUUCCGGUUUUUGUUCUUGUGAGCGAUGACAUCGAUUCGUUCCAAAUUUACACUCUCUGGCCAUAAUAGAACAAUUUAAUUAGGUUUUACGCUUUCUUCGAUAAAAUGAGAAAAAGCACUCGUUGCAAAGUUAUACUGUUAUGGCGCAACUGAGUAGUCUAAAGUUGUUCCGGUUUUUGUUCUUGUGAGCGUUGACAUCGAUUCGUUCCAAAUUUACACUCUCUGGGCAUAAUAGAACAAUAUAAUUAGGUUUUACGCUUUCUUCGAUAAAAUGAGAAAAAGUACUCGUUGCAAAGUUAUACUGUUAGGGCGCAACUGAAUAGUCUAAUGUUGCUCCGGUUUUUGUUCUGGUGAGCGUUGACAUCGAUUUGUUCCAAAUUUACCCUCUCUGGGCAUAAUAGAACAAUAUAAUUAGGGUUUACACUUUCUCCGAUAAAAUGAGAAAAAGUACACGUUGCAAAGUUAUACUGUUAGGGCGCAACUGAGUAGUCUAAUGUUGUUCCGGUUUUUGUUCUUGUGAGCGUUGAAAUCGAUUCGUUCCAAAUUUACACUCUCUGGUCAUAAUAGAAUAAUAUAACUAGGUUUUACGCUUUCUUCGAUAAAAUGAGAAAAAGUAUUCGUUGCAAAGUUAUACUGUUAGUGCGCAACUGAGUAGUCUAAUGUUGUUCUGGUUUUUGUUCUUGUGAGCGAUGACAUCGAAUCGUUCCAAAUUUACACUCUCUGGGCAUAAUAGAACAAUAUAAUUAGGUUUUACACUUUUCUUCGAUAAAAUGAGAAAAAAUACUCGUUGCAAAGUUAUACUGUUAGGGCGCAACUGAGAAGUCUAAUGUUGUUCCGGUUUUUGUUCUUGUGAGCGUUGACAUCGAUUCAUUCCAAAUUUACACUAUCUGGGCAUAAUAGAACAAUAUAAUUAGAUUUUACGGUUUCUUCGAUAAAAUGAAAAAAAGAACUCGUUGCAAAGUUAUACUGUUAUGGAGCAACUGAGUGGUCUAAUGUUGUUCCGAUUUUUGUUCUUGUGAGCGUUAACAUCGGAUCGUUCCAAAUUUACACUCUCUGGGCAUAAUAGAACAAUAUAAUUAGGUUUUACGCUUUCUUCGAUAAAAUGAGAAAAAGUACUCGUUGCAAAGUUAUACUGUUANA
This 1299-nucleotide long non-coding RNA is filed under the name Ananas comosus (pineapple). RNAcentral describes it as "long non-coding RNA (ACOM_LNC026209)". Lineage: Eukaryota; Viridiplantae; Streptophyta; Magnoliopsida; Poales; Bromeliaceae. The record is from RNAcentral.